GUAGGUGGCAAGCGUUGUCCGGAAUUAUUGGGCGUAAAGCGCGCGCAGGCGGUCCUUUAAGUCUGAUGUGAAAGCCCACGGCUCAACCGUGGAGGGUCAUUGGAAACUGGGGGACUUGAGUACAGAAGAGGAAAGCGGAAUUCCAAGUGUAGCGGUGAAAUGCGCAGAGAUUUGGAGGAACACCAGUGGCGAAGGCGGCUUUCUGGUCUGUAACUGACGCUGAGGCGCGAAAGCGUGGGGAGCAAACAGGGAUUAGAUACCCUGGUAGUCCACGCCGUAAACGAUGAGUGCUAAGUGUUAGGGGGGUUUUCCGCCCCCCUUAGUGCUGCAGCUAACGCAUUAAGCACUCCGCCUGGGGAGUACGGCCGCAAGGCUG
Molecule: ribosomal RNA, 376 nt
Filed under: uncultured organism
Description: partial 16S ribosomal RNA
Rfam family: Bacterial small subunit ribosomal RNA
Source: RNAcentral